This 514-nucleotide ribosomal RNA is filed under the name uncultured bacterium. RNAcentral's name for it is "bacterial SSU rRNA". It matches the Rfam family "Bacterial small subunit ribosomal RNA", at positions 28 to 526 of the family's 1533-position model. The record is from RNAcentral.
GACGAACGCUGGCGGCGUGCCUAAUACAUGCAAGUCGAGCGGACCAAAGGGAGCUUGCUCCCAGAGGUUAGCGGCGGACGGGUGAGUAACACGUGGGCAACCUGCCCUGUAGACUGGGAUAACAUCGAGAAAUCGGUGCUAAUACCGGAUAAUAGAUGGAACUGCAUAGUUCCAUUUUAAAAGAUGGUUCUGCUAUCACUACAGGAUGGGCCCGCGGUGCAUUAGCUAGUUGGUAAGGUAACGGCUUACCAAGGCGACGAUGCAUAGCCGACCUGAGAGGGGGAUCGGCCACACUGGGACUGAGACACGGCCCAGACUCCUACGGGAGGCAGCAGUAGGGAAUCUUCCGCAAUGGACGAAAGUCUGACGGAGCAACGCCGCGUGAGUGAUGAAGGGUUUCGGCUCGUAAAGCUCUGUUGUUAGGGAAGAACAAGUGCCUGAGUAACUGCAGGCACCUUGACGGUACCUAACCAGAAAGCCACGGCUAACUACGUGCCAGCCGCCGCCGUAACAC